GAAAUGCGAUAAGUAAUGUGAAUUGCAGAAUUCAGUGAAUCAUCGAAUCUUUGAACGCACAUUGCGCCCGCCAGUAUUCUGGCGGGCAUGCCUGUCCGAGCGUCAUUUCAACCAUCAAGCCCCCGGGCUUGUGUUGGGGACCUGCGGCUGCCCGCAGGCCCUGAAAACCAGUGGCGGGCUCGCUGUCACACCGAGCGUAGUAGCAAUCAUCUCGCUCAGGGCGUGCUGCGGGUUCCGGCCGUUAAACAGCCUUACAAAACCCAAGGUUGACCUCGGAUCAGGUAGGAAGACCCGCUGAACUUAAGC
Molecule: unclassified non-coding RNA, 306 nt
Filed under: plant metagenome
Description: partial contains 5.8S ribosomal RNA, internal transcribed spacer 2, and large subunit ribosomal RNA
Rfam family: 5.8S ribosomal RNA (bases 1-105)
Source: RNAcentral